This 101-nucleotide ribosomal RNA is filed under the name uncultured bacterium. RNAcentral's name for it is "partial 16S ribosomal RNA". It matches the Rfam family "Bacterial small subunit ribosomal RNA", at positions 1384 to 1482 of the family's 1533-position model. The record is from RNAcentral.
UACACACCGCCCGUCACAUCACGAAAGUCGGCUGUACCGGAAGUCGGUGGGCUAACCCGCAAGGGAGGCAGCCGCCCAUGGUAUGGCCGGUGAUUGGGGUG